UAGGGAAUCUUCGGCAAUGGACGACAGUCUGACCGAGCAACGCCGCGUGAGUGAAGAAGGUUUUCGGAUCGUUAAACUCUGUUGUUCGAGAAGAACAAGGACGUUAGUAACUGAACGUCCCCUGACGGUAUCUAACCAGAAAGCCACGGCUAACUACGUGCCAGCAGCCGCGGUAAUACGUAGGUGGCAAGCGUUGUCCGGAUUUAUUGGGCGUAAAGCGAGCGCAGGCGGUUUCUUAAGUCUGAUGUGAAAGCCCCCGGCUCAACCGGGGAGGGUCAUUGGAAACUGGGAGACUUGAGUGCAGAAGAGGGGAGUGGAAUUCCAUGUGUAGCGGUGAAAUGCGUAGAUAUAUGGAGGAACACCAGUGGCGAAGGCGGCUCUCUGGUCUGUAACUGACGCUGAGGCUCGAAAGCGUGGGGAGCAAACAGG
RNAcentral lists this ribosomal RNA (429 nucleotides) under Gemmatimonadota bacterium. Its description in RNAcentral is "Gemmatimonadetes bacterium partial 16S ribosomal RNA". It matches the Rfam family "Bacterial small subunit ribosomal RNA", at positions 355 to 776 of the family's 1533-position model. The record is from RNAcentral. Lineage: Bacteria; Pseudomonadati; Gemmatimonadota.